ACUCCUACGGGAGGCAGCAGUGGGGAAUAUUGCACAAUGGGCGAAAGCCUGAUGCAGCAACGCCGCGUGAGGGAUGACGGCCUUCGGGUUGUAAACCUCUUUUAGCAGGGAAGAAGCGAAAGUGACGGUACCUGCAGAAAAAGCGCCGGCUAACUACGUGCCAGC
RNAcentral lists this ribosomal RNA (165 nucleotides) under uncultured bacterium. Its description in RNAcentral is "partial 16S ribosomal RNA". It matches the Rfam family "Bacterial small subunit ribosomal RNA", at positions 335 to 512 of the family's 1533-position model. The record is from RNAcentral.